This is a long non-coding RNA of Mesocricetus auratus (golden hamster), 565 nucleotides long. RefSeq lists it as uncharacterized. NCBI's taxonomy places the organism in Eukaryota, Metazoa, Chordata, Mammalia, Rodentia, Cricetidae. The record is from RefSeq and is a predicted model, not a curated record. The transcript is spliced from 3 exons.
UGAGUUCCUGUCCUGACUUCCUUCAGUGAUGAACAGCAAUGCUGAAGUCCGGCAACGUGUCCAUCCUCAGAGAAGGAAAUCAUGUUUGUAGACGCAUCAGUAUGUGAUGGCUUGGAGCACAGUGGGCAUCUAGUGACCGAAGAAACAGCCCAAGAUCACAGAGUGAGCUUCUUGUGAUGCACAUCAGAAAGAUGAGAAGCAUCCUGGUCCUGGGGAAAAUUGUGGAGCUGCUAAAUCAGUCCUGGAAUCACCCACUUUCAAGCCUAUCAUUAGAAACUCGAGGCACAAUCAAGCUAAACACUAUAAAUCAGGACUAACCUGUGCACAAGAAAGGGAACUCAGACGUGGAAAGAAGCGCCAGUUACCAAGAUGACACGAAAGGCUAUAACUUCACGUCUUCCUGAGGAUUGACACUGAGCAAGCCCCAGGUUGGGUCAAUGUCAGGAGGAAGUGUGAACAGCACACACCUGCUGCUUCUAGUCCCCUAUGGAUUCGAGGUAAUGACUGGGUAUCCUCCAUUCUUCUCUCCUCUCCUCCUCUCCUCUCCCCUUCUCUUCUUUCCCCU